UAGCUUUAUUGGUAAAGUGCUUACCUUGAAAGCAUGAGGACCUGAGUUCAAGUCUCAG
Molecule: transfer RNA, 58 nt
Filed under: Neotoma lepida (desert woodrat)
Lineage: Eukaryota; Metazoa; Chordata; Mammalia; Rodentia; Cricetidae
Rfam family: tRNA
About the family: Transfer RNA (tRNA) molecules are approximately 80 nucleotides in length. Their secondary structure includes four short double-helical elements and three loops (D, anti-codon, and T loops).
Source: Rfam by way of RNAcentral